This 374-nucleotide ribosomal RNA is filed under the name uncultured Alphaproteobacteria bacterium. RNAcentral's name for it is "bacterial SSU rRNA". It matches the Rfam family "Bacterial small subunit ribosomal RNA", at positions 521 to 896 of the family's 1533-position model. Lineage: Bacteria; Pseudomonadati; Pseudomonadota; Alphaproteobacteria. The record is from RNAcentral.
UAAUACGGAGGGGGCAAGCGUUGUUCGGAACUACUGGGCGUAAAGGGCGCGCAGGCUGUUUCGUUAGUCAGGCGUGAAAUCCCCGGGCUCAACCCGGGAACUGCGUUUGAUACUGCGGAACUAGAGAUCGGGAGAGGGUAGUGGAAUUCCCAGUGUAGAGGUGAAAUUCGUAGAUAUUGGGAAGAACACCAGUGGCGAAGGCGGCUACCUGGACCGAUACUGACGCUGAGGCGCGAAAGCGUGGGGAGCAAACAGGAUUAGAUACCCUGGUAGUCCACGCCGUAAACGAUGUGUGCUAGACGUCGGGGGUUAUGCCUUCGGUGUCGCAGCUAACGCAUUAAGCACACCGCCUGGGGAGUACGGCCGCAAGGUUA